GAUGAAGAACGUAGCGAAAUGCGAUAAGUAGUGUGAAUUGCAGAAUUCAGUGAAUCAUCGAAUCUUUGAACGCACAUUGCGCCCCUUGGUAUUCCAUGGGGCAUGCCUGUUCGAGCGUCAUUUGUACCUUCAAGCUUUGCUUGGUGUUGGGUGUUUGUCUCGCCUCCGCGUGUAGACUCGCCUCAAAACAAUUGGCAGCCGGCGUAUUGAUUUCGGAGCGCAGUACAUCUCGCGCUUUGCACUCACAACGACGACGUCCAAAAGUACAUUUUUACACUCUUGACCUCGGAUCAGGUAGGGAUACCCGCUGAACUUAAGCAUAUCAAUAAGCGGAGGGA
RNAcentral lists this unclassified non-coding RNA (338 nucleotides) under soil metagenome. RNAcentral's name for it is "partial contains 5.8S ribosomal RNA, internal transcribed spacer 2, and large subunit ribosomal RNA". The stretch from base 1 to 120 matches the Rfam family "5.8S ribosomal RNA", at positions 35 to 154 of the family's 154-position model. The record is from RNAcentral.